Patella vulgata (common limpet) is the source of this 570-nucleotide long non-coding RNA. RefSeq lists it as uncharacterized. The record is from RefSeq and is a predicted model, not a curated record. Lineage: Eukaryota; Metazoa; Mollusca; Gastropoda; Patellidae. The transcript is spliced from 4 exons.
CAGAAUUCUACCAAUAACCAUGAUGUAUUUACUGGUUGCCGUUUUGUGUGUAUCGGGAGGAUAUGUAUCUGCUCAAGCGCCGGCUUUUUGUAAAAAUGCUGAAUGUCCCCAGUUUACUACCCUAUCAUCAAAUCAGAACUAUGCCAUCAGACAAUAUGGACCAUUAACAUGGGCAACUACAUCUUUUGUUGGACAAUGGAAAUCUAAUAUUCUUGGAGAAUUGUUUGGUCGUUUGUUUAAUUAUAUCCAGGGAAACAAUACUUUGGGACAAGUAAUGCCAAUGACGGUACCAGUUUUAACAAGAAUUGAGAGUGCGGGUCAAACUGGAACUAAAUACACAAUGCAUUUUAUGAUUCCUGCUAGUAAUUCUCGUAAUAUCCCUGGACCAGUUGAUCCAACUGUUAGUUUAAUGACUAUCCCACCAGCUACUUACUAUAUCAGGUCUUUUGGUGGAUAUGCUAAUGGUCAGAAAUUUAUGACAGAAUUACAAACAUUGGUGAACAACAUCAACAAUCCUCAAUCAUACGACGAUAAUUUCUUCAUGACCGCCACCUACGAUAGUCCUUCAGU